AUCAGUAUCCAAAUAGCAACAGGAAAUUUUUACCUUGUGGCUAAAUAGCUCACUGUUCACUUUGCAGCUGCCUCUAUUUUUUGCUGGGCAAAACACCAAUAACAAAAGUCUUUCCUAAGAAAAACCAAGCUUUUGACACAUAAGGGCAGCGACAAAACGCAAAAAAAAAAAAACCUUACAAAGAAUAUUUUUUUUUUCUUUCCCCCCCCCCGUCCCGUCGUUAUAAUUCCUAAUUUUGUGGGAUGUAUUGCUGGGCUGUUUAUCAUAACAGUGUGCAAUAAAAAGGACGACUAACUCUUGCAAUUUUCUCCCUACUCCUCCCCUUGACAGGGGCCACUGAUAGGGAAAGAGGCUCGGAAAAGCAGAGCAGUGAAAGGCUAAGAAACAAUAGGCAACCAUGGCUUUGACAAUGCAGCCCUGAACCCUUUUUGCUCCCGCUGUGACACUUGCAUUCAAGAGCAAGGGCGGCUGCCAUCAUAAGAAUGGACAAUGGCAUGAGGAAUACAAGGGAGAGGGGGGGAGAUAUAUAUAAAAAAAAAAAAAAAAAAAAAAAAAAGGAAAUCAGAUGAAUUCAGAGCUAAGAUGGCAGAGCUCUCACCUUUUCCGCUUUUUUUCGAGUAAUCUGGAUGGAGACGUCCCGCAGAGAAGAGAUAAAAAGGGUGUGCUGAACUGUUGGAUGGCUCUGAAGACUUCUGCAUUUGCAAACGCAUUUUAGAACUAUUUGUAGGGGUAUAUAUGCUGCAUGCCAUCUCUCUGUCUCUGUCUCUCUCUCUCCCUCUGUGUCUCUCUCUCUUCUGUUUUAUGUCCUGCUAUCUCCAUCACACACCUCUAAUAGUAUGAAGACUUUCUGCCCAUGUAAGUAAGUGAGAGUGUGUGUGUUCCUUAAUGUUUGACUCAAGACACACGUCUGCAUGCAUUUCUAAUCUAAGGAGCCUAUAGCAGUUACUACAACUAUCAAUUAGUCAGCAAUAGCUCGAGAUCCCCAUGUGUCUGGGUGAACAAAGGUGAGAAACACAUGCAAAUAGUACUCCAGCACCUGGGUCACGUACAGGAACUUAGCCAGCACCAAAUAAUUGCAUCUGUUUCUGCCUUUUCCGUGCUUCUCGCCCGUCAGGAUGGAAAGUUGCAGGUUAUUAAUGGGAAGAGUAACACAAUUAGCCAUGGCAUUGUAUAUCCUCGUCCCCCCAACGACACAAUAAAAGGAAAUUAAAAGCCAAACUAGAGGGGAAAUAAAGGGUGGCUUAAAGGCUUUAAAAACGACAAGAUUCUCUGCUCUUGUGGCAGUUGCUUCCAUUUUUCCUCAGCGAUUGUUCCUGAGUUAAAGAUGCAAAUGAUGUAAGAUGUAUUUGGUCAUUUCAUAUAUAUUAGAUAAGAAGCUGAUUAUUCCAGAGGAGACAGAGUGGAUGCCUAAUUUCCUGAAGUUAAGUCCAUAAAGAGGGACCAGUCUAGUGGCUGGAAGGUGAAAGGAAAGCUGCAGUUUCACACCGGUUUUGCCCCCUCGAGGAGCCCUGGGUGUGAGCGUCCCAGAGCUGGGUGUACAGCCAAAAAUAAAGCAAAUAACGGGCUCCAAAAAGCUCGAGGAGGCGGGGGGGAGGAAAGGGGGUUGUGCUGACCCACGCCAGGCAGUUUCAUUUCCAAACUUAGCUGCUUGGGAAUUGCGGGAGCACAAGGAGGGUUUCCAGAGCGAGGAGAGCGGGUGGCAUCGGCGCCAGGGCAGGAAAAACCCCUCGCGAAAAAAAAAAAAAACACCAAAAUAAUUCUCGCCCCUUCGCCGAACAAUGAGACCUUAAAAAAUCCACGUUGGGGAGGGUAUUACACGCAGAGAGGCAGGGGGGAGGGGGCGGGGGAUGAGAACAACAUUUCCCAGCGACGCCGUUUAUUUCUUAGGCUCUGGAAAGGUGGUUUUUCCCCCCCUUUUUAAUGGGAAUUACUCAUCUCGUUCACGGGGCCGGUGUCAUCGCCUGCAAGUGCACAGCUCAGGUGGAAAAGGGGUUUAGGGGUUCAAUCAGAGAGUAACCACUCCACGCUUAUCUAAGGUUGAAAAGUAGUUAAAUAAUAUUAAAAGUGCUCGUUCCUGUAGUUCUCAGCCUGCUAUAACACACUUGGGCGCCCAGAGCCGUGGGGGCUGAGGGAGGAAGGUGGUUAAAGCAGAGAAAUGCGUAUUUAUACCACUAUUUAAUGCCCUGUUCUUCUCACUCUUAGUCUGCACCAUCCCUCCUUCAAACGCUCCCGAUUCAGAUAAAAUAAGUCAGCUUUCUUUCAAGAAAAAAAAAAAAGAAAGAAAGAAGCCCCACGCAGAUGAAUAGACACCACUAAUCAGAUGGAAUGUAAUCGAAUCCUCUUCUUCAUCUAAUCUGCCUGCUCUGUGUAAUCUAGCUAUUCUCCCAGCUCCAGCAUUUGUAAGAGGCAUGACAUUGAUUCCCAUCUCGGAUAAUGUUAUUUCAGUAUUUUAGUCCUAAAUGAGGCUACAAGUUGGGUGGCUACUUGGCAUUCAAAAACUCGUCCUCGACUUUGCAAAGGCCACGGGGCUGAGCCCCUCUGCUGCUUUUUAAGGGUUGUGUCUCCCAUCACCAGCAGGCAAUUUCUCGGAGUUUCUGGAAAAGAAAUUUUACGACCCGCAAAAAGAACAAGAAUUUAACCACGGGACUGGCCCAGGAUGGACAGCAAAAAAAUAAACCCCACCAAGGCAUUUGACAAGAUCUGCCUGCAGACAGCAGCUGGGAGAAGCUGAAACCCUGCACACAACACUGAGAUGGGUUUUUUUGGGGGUUUUUUUGGUAAUGUUUUCUAAAACGCAGAACGAUUUCCUUAAAUAAGCAUUUCGGCAAUGUCCAGCCAGGUUUUCCCCAAAAAGAAAAAAAAGCAAACCUGGUCUCAUUUUGCAGGAUGAGCAGGAUUCCCAGCUAAUUGUUCUGUUGGGGAAAUGACAGCAGUGGGGAGAACAAACAAACCCUCUCAGACAAACAAAUAUAUUUGAACGUAAUAAAAAUGUUGACAACCGU
Molecule: long non-coding RNA, 3002 nt
Organism: Pseudopipra pipra
Lineage: Eukaryota; Metazoa; Chordata; Aves; Passeriformes; Pipridae
Exons: 2
Source: RefSeq, a predicted model, not a curated record